Molecule: ribosomal RNA, 227 nt
Filed under: uncultured Tylospora
Lineage: Eukaryota; Fungi; Basidiomycota; Agaricomycetes; Atheliales; Atheliaceae
Description: partial 28S ribosomal RNA
Rfam family: Eukaryotic large subunit ribosomal RNA
Source: RNAcentral
UUGACCUCAAAUCAGGUAGGACUACCCGCUGAACUUAAGCAUAUCAAUAAGCGGAGGAAAAGAAACUAACAAGGAUUCCCCUAGUAACUGCGAGUGAAGCGGGAAGAGCUCAAUUUAAAAUCUGGUGGUCCUCGCGGCCGUCCGAGUUGUAAUCUGGAGAAGCGUUUUCCGCGUCGGACCGUGUACAAGUCUUCUGGAAUGGAGCGUCGUAGAGGGUGAGAAUCCCG